CAAGUCGAACGGCAGCACGGGAGCAAUCCUGGUGGCGAGUGGCGAACGGGUGAGUAAUACAUCGGAACGUGCCCUGUCGUGGGGGAUAACUAGUCGAAAGAUUAGCUAAUACCGCAUACGACCUGAGGGUGAAAGCGGGGGACCGUAAGGCCUCGCGCGAUAGGAGCGGCCGAUGUCUGAUUAGCUAGUUGGUGGGGUAAAGGCCCACCAAGGCGACGAUCAGUAGCUGGUCUGAGAGGACGAUCAGCCACACUGGGACUGAGACACGGCCCAGACUCCUACGGGAGGCAGCAGUGGGGAAUUUUGGACAAUGGGGGCAACCCUGAUCCAGCAAUGCCGCGUGUGUGAAGAAGGCCUUCGGGUUGUAAAGCACUUUUGUCCGGAAAGAAAUCCCUUGCCCUAAUACGGCGGGGGGAUGACGGUACCGGAAGAAUAAGCACCGGCUAACUACGUGCCAGCAGCCGCGGU
Molecule: ribosomal RNA, 468 nt
Filed under: uncultured bacterium
Lineage: Bacteria
Description: bacterial SSU rRNA
Rfam family: Bacterial small subunit ribosomal RNA
Source: RNAcentral